Schistocerca americana (American grasshopper) is the source of this 851-nucleotide long non-coding RNA. RefSeq lists it as uncharacterized. The record is from RefSeq and is a predicted model, not a curated record. NCBI's taxonomy places the organism in Eukaryota, Metazoa, Arthropoda, Insecta, Orthoptera, Acrididae. The transcript is spliced from 5 exons.
UUUCUAAUAGAAAAUUGGCAAAAUGAAUAACCAGGCAAUACUGGGUUUGUCUUCUAUUAUUAUAACAAAAACUUUGAUCAUUGGUGAGAUAUAGUGUUGUUCUGUGGUGUGCGUGACAUCUGAUCAGUCAGGUGACAGAUACGUUAUUGUUUGCAGAUUGAAAAUGGAAAGGAAAGAAAAAAACCAAGCCAAAACAUAAAAUAAACCUAUGAAGAAAAUAUUUUUCAUCUAGAUCUAUUGGCACUGUAAAUAAAAAACAGAACCCUUUGAUGUUCCACCGACUUUUCAUUCUCUGUCACAUGUAAAGGAAAAUAUUCACAGUUUCAGGUGUUGGGAGUCUUCUGUGAUUGUAUCAGAUUGAUGUAGUUGUGGAUUUGGCCCUCCUUUCAUUGGCUGAAAUUUUUAGUGUUUGGACUGGACAGCAUUUCUUGUGCAAUGGGAGCCGUACAUAUACAUGGAAUCUUGAGGUCAUUUGGGCCUGUCGUAUUUAAGGAGGGAACAUCUCAACUGAGAGUUGAGAAUACGGCACAUUCCUGUGGAAGGGGCCAUUGCUGACCUGUUGGCCAAAUUACGCACUUUGUUGGACAGGCCUCUUUGCAUCUUGUUGUACACCAUUGGUGAGGUGCUAUUGUGCAAAGGUGGAGACUUUGAUGUAUUUCUUGAUGGCUAAAAGAUUAUGCUAAACACCAUCAGUUAUAGAGGUAAGGCUUAUGCACCCUUUAAGACACUAACUGCAUUAACAGCCAUUUACUGGAUCUGUAUUGGUAACGCCUUACAUUUAAAGUAUGUUUUCUGGACUUUGAUUUGUUCACAAUGUUUUGUGUGCUUUGAGGUAGCUUCAGUCUCUGAGA